AGGCACAAAGGGAAAUGAGUCACAAUCCAGGGAAGAUGAUAGUGCGUCAGCGUCAGAGGACAAAGUAACUGACCCAAAGGGUAGUGGAUCACAAUCCGGGGAAGAUGAAUUAAAAAAUGAAGAUGAUAGUGCAUCAGAGGACAACAUAACUGAUGUUGCAAAAGACACAAAAGGUAGUGGGUCACAAUCCGGGGAAGAUGGCGAUGAUAGUGCAUCAGUGGACAAAAUAACUGAAGAGGGGAUUGAGCCCCCAGCCACGGACAAAACACUGGUUCAGGAGGUUGAUGUGGAAAAUGUCCCAACUACUACUGACUUACAGGCACCUCCUACAAAGCCUUGUGAUGAAACCGAUAUGACAAAGGCUUUGCUUGGCUCAAACAAUGAGUCUAGCCCGAUGGGUUUAUUUGCGUCUACUGUCACGGAAGAGUGGAUAACCAGUAUGAAAACGGUAUCUGACAUGGUGAAACAAAGCAAGGACUCGCCUGCUGCAGUUGCCGUGCUAGCCAAUUCCCUCAAGCAGAUUACUAAGAGCAGUACCAAUCCAGGAAAAGAAAAUAUUGAAAAACUGAUAAAUAAAGUUCUUUCAGCUGCUGAAAGGUCUGAUAAAGGCUCUUCAUCUAUCAAUCCACUUCUGUGUCUUUCGUAUGAGCUACUGGAAUUUGGAUUCUCAUUGAAAGAUGCCAUCCUGGACUGUUUUUGGCAUAGCUUGGACUUCUUUGAGCACUCUGGCUGCGUUUACUACCGUGACCUGAUCACACAAUGGAUACUCGAAGGCUACUUUGAUCCCGUCAGGUCCGUCGAAAAGGCGUACCAGGAUGGUCACUUAAUCUUGAUGGAGCUUAUAAACCGCGGGAUGCUCAAGAUACAAGAAAACAACGUGGUGGUACCAGAGAGGGCCAUGAGCAGUUUGAUUGAUCCUCGACGCCGCGGGCUUCUUGGGAGAUCAAGGCUUAGAUUCUCUAGAGUCUAUCGCGGUGACAAGAAGAAAGGUAUAGGGAAAAUCACACAGAUAGAUGAUAUGAUCAAGACAGUGCAAGCGAAGAAAGGAGACAAGGCUACCACCGUUCUGGUUAGUGGAGACCGUCUUCGUCGUGAGACUCCUGAAAAGUAUUUUAAGAAGCUGAGCGAUCUUGAAGUACUAGGCCUGUUCGAGCCCACGCUGGACCCUUUUGUGUCGGCCUUUUCGAUUCUUCCCAAACUCAGGGUUCUUGUAAUCAGGGACUGUGAUUUACUGACGGAUAUUGAAGAGCUUAAGGCUCUUAAACAGCUGCACGCUCUUGAAGUCUCUGGUGCUAGCUCCUUGAAGAAAAUCUCUGAUGACUUCUUUAAAGCAUUGUCUAAACUUCAAAGUCUACACCUGUCUGGUCUUCAGAUCACAACUUCCCCUUCGAGCAUUUCCGAACUGAAAGAGCUUCACUGUCUCAUCAUCAAGGACUGCCCUUUGCUGGAAGAUUUGCCAGAUAUACAAGAACUCGUAAAGCUUGAGGUUGUUGAUGUUUCCGGUGCUCGCGGGCUUCAGACUUGUUUCGACAACACGAAAGGCAAGAAGAAAAACAAAAGCAAGAACAAGAACUUCUAUCAUCUGACAAGACUUCAGCUCCUUGACUUCUCAGAGAGCCAAAUAGAGCGGCUGCCGAUAUUCCAGGACUCUGCGGUAGGCGACAAGCUUCACUCCGUCAAGCGGCUCUUGUUGCGCGACUGUAGCAAGCUGAGAAGGUUGCCUAGUUUGAAGCCCUUGUCAGGUCUGCAAAUUCUCGAUCUUUCGGGUACUACAAGCUUAGUGGAGAUGCUUGAAGUGUGCUUUGAAGAUAAGAAGGAACUCAAAACUCUUGAUCUCUCGGGAACCAAUCUUAACGAGCUGGCUACGACCAUCGAGGAGCUGUCUAGUCUCAACAAACUGCUUCUGAAGGAUUGCACCAACCUAGAGGUUCUCCCAAACAUCACAAAACUCACAAGUCUCGAGGUCAUUGAUGUUUCCGGAUGUACUAAGUUGCAUACGAUUGAGGGAUCAUUUGAGGAUAUGUCUUACCUGUGUGAAGUGAAUCUCUCUGGAACCAAAGUGAAGACACCAGAGUUGCCAAAAGAGACAAAAAUCAGUUGUCUAAAGCAUAUUGUUCUGGCAGAUGGAAAGCGUUUUGAAGGUGAGGAAUGGAGCAAGAUAAGGGAUGAGAUUGAAAGUAAGAGAUCUGACGAGGCCAGCUCCUCUGACUCAGUUGUUAAGUCAGAAGGAAUAAGAGAAGCGAUUCAGCAGAAUAAAGCUCACACCAGUGAUGGUACUGAGAAGGGAGAUGUCAUCAAGGAACGUCUUCUCCAUGUUCCCAUUGAGAGGGAGAUAUAUAAGGAGAUAUUCUCACGUUUUGAUUCCGCAAGUCAGCAGGAAAUAACUGAUGCUGCAACAGGCACAAAGGGAAAUGAGUCACAAUCCAGGGAAGAUGAUAGUGCGUCAGCGUCAGAGGACAAAGUAACUGACCCAAAGGGUAGUGGAUCACAAUCCGGGGAAGAUGAAUUAAAAAAUGAAGAUGAUAGUGCAUCAGAGGACAACAUAACUGAUGUUGCAAAAGACACAAAAGGUAGUGGGUCACAAUCCGGGGAAGAUGGCGAUGAUAGUGCAUCAGUGGACAAAAUAACUGAAGAGGGGAUUGAGCCCCCAGCCACGGACAAAACACUGGUUCAGGAGGUUGAUGUGGAAAAUGUCCCAACUACUACUGACUUACAGGCACCUCCUACAAAGCCUUGUGAUGAAACCGAUAUGACAAAGGCUUUGCUUGGCUCAAACAAUGAGUCUAGCCCGAUGGGUUUAUUUGCGUCUACUGUCACGGAAGAGUGGAUAACCAGUAUGAAAACG
RNAcentral lists this long non-coding RNA (2845 nucleotides) under Brassica napus (rape). RNAcentral's name for it is "long non-coding RNA (BNAP_LNC020225)". The record is from RNAcentral. Lineage: Eukaryota; Viridiplantae; Streptophyta; Magnoliopsida; Brassicales; Brassicaceae.